Molecule: long non-coding RNA, 955 nt
Filed under: Sparus aurata (gilthead seabream)
Lineage: Eukaryota; Metazoa; Chordata; Actinopteri; Spariformes; Sparidae
Description: lncRNA (ENSSAUG00010016209.1)
Source: RNAcentral
CAGCCUGGUAAUGCGUUACCACUUCAAAUUAAAACCCACAGGAUCACUGGAAACUCGUUUAAUCUUCUUAGGAGUCAGUAUGGACCUGUUAUAGUUAGAUCCUCUGCCUUUGUUUGCAAAGCACGUUGGGGUUGUUCAGAUUGUUUUAAAUGUAACAUAGAAAUACAUUUGACUUGACAGCGUCGUGACAUUGAAAAGGCAGGGACUGGAACUGUGCAUCAGGCAGGGCCAAAGUGUUUCUAAGUUCUCUGCCCCUCCUGUUUUCUCACCAGGCAUCAACUACCCGACUGGUUUCCGCCUGUGCAGUCUGACAAUGCUGCCCACAGGUUCCUCAGAGGCGGAUCUUGGCUGCUUGAGCUUUGUUGGAUUGUUUAGGCAGACUUCUCGAGACCAGGCCAACAUUGCUGUACUGUUCGAUAUUUUUGCAUGAAUACUGGGGCUGGUGUGUUUCAGAGCAGACACAGCAAACAGACCAUCGAACAAUUCCAUCUUCUACAGUCGACUGUGACUAUGUAUCCAGCCUUACAGUCGGUAAAUCCCUUGUUUCCCUUGUGUCUGUGAAUCUUUAACACAACUCAGAGAGGAGCGGAGACACUUCUGUGGAGGCUUGAAGCAGUCAGGAAUAUUUUCUCGAUUUUUCUCUCCCAUCAUGGGGAAUGCAGCAUCUAAGUGCAGCAGGGAAGAUGACGGAGACGAGACAGGAGAACCAGAAUGGUUUUCGACAGCGGCAGCUGGUUCCGGGCCUGCUAGCUGGAGCCAUCUUGCCAGCGUGUCCAAAAUGAUGUCAGCAGGACCGUCCAUGAAUGCAAGAUCACUUUUCCAUACAUAUAGAUUUAUAUUGAUUUCUUAAUUUUUAUUGAAGCAGAUCAGUUUACAGACUCAAGUUAGGAACAGUAGUUUGUAUAUCUCAAACGUUGUAUGUCUCAAACGUUUUGGGAGGUUGACAAUAUGACAA